GAAUCAACGCUGGCGGCGUGCCUCAGACAUGCAAGUCGAACGCGAAAGUCCCCUUCGGGGGCAAGUAGAGUGGCGCACGGGUGAGUAACGCGUAGGUAAUCUACCUUUGGAUGGGGAAUAACAACCGGAAACGGUUGCUAAUACCGCAUAAUGCAGCGGCACCUAAUGGUGACAGUUGUUAAAGCGGGGGAUCGAAAGACCUCGCGUCUGAAGAGGAGCCUGCGGCGGAUUAGCAGGUUGGUAAGGUAACGGCUUACCAAGGCAACGAUCCGUAGCCGGCCUGAGAGGGGCGGUCGGCCACACUGACACUGACAUACGGGUC
Molecule: ribosomal RNA, 322 nt
Filed under: uncultured bacterium
Lineage: Bacteria
Description: bacterial SSU rRNA
Rfam family: Bacterial small subunit ribosomal RNA
Source: RNAcentral